RNAcentral lists this ribosomal RNA (253 nucleotides) under uncultured bacterium. Its description in RNAcentral is "partial 16S ribosomal RNA". It matches the Rfam family "Bacterial small subunit ribosomal RNA", at positions 524 to 776 of the family's 1533-position model. The record is from RNAcentral.
UACGUAGGGGGCAAGCGUUGUCCGGAAUCAUUGGGCGUAAAGCGUCCGUAGGUGGCUUUUCAAGUCUGCCGUCAAAGACCGGGGCUUAACCCCAGAAAGGCGGUGGAAACUGAAUAGCUAGAGUGCAGUAGGGGUAGAGGGAAUUCCCGGUGUAGCGGUGAAAUGCGUAGAGAUCGGGAAGAACACCCGUGGCGAAAGCGCUCUACUGGACUGCAACUGACACUCAGGGACGAAAGCUAGGGGAGCGAAUGGG